RNAcentral lists this long non-coding RNA (383 nucleotides) under Vigna radiata. Its description in RNAcentral is "long non-coding RNA (VRAD_LNC014166)". The record is from RNAcentral. Lineage: Eukaryota; Viridiplantae; Streptophyta; Magnoliopsida; Fabales; Fabaceae.
UUUAACUUAUUCGAUAACUGAUGUUUGUCUUUAUUGAUACGGGGACGUACAGUAAUGUCAUGAACUGGUGAGUAAUUCCUUGAUUUUGCAAUACCACCUAGGGAUAGGGGUAGGAUGAUCAAUUGCUUUUAACUUCUACUCUUUAAGGCUGUAUUAAUUGCUAGGGGAGGCUAGGGAUAGCAAGCCAGUAAUUAGUAUUAGGCUNUUUUCGCUGAGGGAUCGGGUUAAGGGUAGGCUAAGAAAGUUGCAUGACAAUUAAUUAAUCAAACUAAUAAUUCAAGAGGAGUAAAUAAGAGAGUGUAGAUAAGAUGAAAUUGUAAACCCCCAACAACUCCAUUCAUCCAUUGUUUUCCUUUUGUCAAUUGAAUCAAUCUCUAUUGCAU